GAUGAACGCUGGCGGCGUGCCUAAUACAUGCAAGUCGAGCGAACGGACGAGAAGCUUGCUUCUCUGAUGUUAGCGGCGGACGGGUGAGUAACACGUGGAUAACCUACCUAUAAGACUGGGAUAACUUCGGGAAACCGGAGCUAAUACCGGAUAAUAUUUUGAACCGCAUGGUUCAAAAGUGAAAGACGGUCUUGCUGUCACUUAUAGAUGGAUCCGCGCUGCAUUAGCUAGUUGGUAAGGUAACGGCUUACCAAGGCAACGAUGCAUAGCCGACCUGAGAGGGUGAUCGGCCACACUGGAACUGAGACACGGUCCAGACUCCUACGGGAGGCAGCAGUAGGGAAUCUUCCGCAAUGGGCGAAAGCCUGACGGAGCAACGCCGCGUGAGUGAUGAAGGUCUUCGGAUCGUAAAACUCUGUUAUUAGGGAAGAACAUAUGUGUAAGUAACUGUGCACAUCUUGACGGUACCUAAUCAGAAAGCCACGGCUAACUACGUGCCAGCAGCCGCGGUAAUACGUAGGUGGCAAGCGUUAUCCGGAAUUAUUGGGCGUAAAGCGCGCGUAGCGGUUUUUUAGUCUGAUGUGAAAGCCCACGGCUCAACCGUGGAGGGUCAUUGGAAACUGGAAAACUUGAGUGCAGAAGAGGAAAGUGGAAUUCCAUGUGUAGCGAUGAAAUGCGCAGAGAUAUGGAGGAACACCAGUGGCGAAGGCGACUUUCUGGUCUGUAACUGACGCUGAUGUGCGAAAGCGUGGGGAUCAAACAGGAUUAGAUACCCUGGUAGUCCACGCCGUAAACGAUGAGUGCUAAGUGUUAGGGGGUUUCCGCCCCUUAGUGCUGCAGCUAACGCAUUAAGCACUCCGCCUGGGGAGUACGACCGCAAGGUUGAAACUCAAAGGAAUUGACGGGGACCCGCACAAGCGGUGGAGCAUGUGGUUUAAUUCGAAGCAACGCGAAGAACCUUACCAAAUCUUGACAUCCUUUGACAACUCUAGAGAUAGAGCCUUCCCCUUCGGGGGACAAAGUGACAGGUGGUGCAUGGUUGUCGUCAGCUCGUGUCGUGAGAUGUUGGGUUAAGUCCCGCAACGAGCGCAACCCUUAAGCUUAGUUGCCAUCAUUAAGUUGGGCACUCUAAGUUGACUGCCGGUGACAAACCGGAGGAAGGUGGGGAUGACGUCAAAUCAUCAUGCCCCUUAUGAUUUGGGCUACACACGUGCUACAAUGGACAAUACAAAGGGCAGCGAAACCGCGAGGUCAAGCAAAUCCCAUAAAGUUGUUCUCAGUUCGGAUUGUAGUCUGCAACUCGACUACAUGAAGCUGGAAUCGCUAGUAAUCGUAGAUCAGCAUGCUACGGUGAAUACGUUCCCGGGUCU
Molecule: ribosomal RNA, 1370 nt
Filed under: uncultured bacterium
Lineage: Bacteria
Description: bacterial SSU rRNA
Rfam family: Bacterial small subunit ribosomal RNA
Source: RNAcentral